This 29-nucleotide non-coding RNA is filed under the name Homo sapiens (human). Lineage: Eukaryota; Metazoa; Chordata; Mammalia; Primates; Hominidae. The record is from RNAcentral.
UACAUGCUGUGGUCAUCAGAGAGGUGUUU